This 265-nucleotide ribosomal RNA is filed under the name uncultured archaeon. Its description in RNAcentral is "partial 16S ribosomal RNA". It matches the Rfam family "Archaeal small subunit ribosomal RNA", at positions 717 to 982 of the family's 1478-position model. The record is from RNAcentral.
AGACGUCUACAUUAGAUACCCGCGUAGUCCCAGCCGUAAACUAUGCGCGUUAGGUGUAUCGGUGACCACGAGUCACCGAGGUGCCGAAGGGAAACCGUGAAACGUGCCGCCUGGGAAGUACGGUCGCAAGGCUGAAACUUAAAGGAAUUGGCGGGGGAGCACCACAACAGGUGGAGCCUGCGGUUUAAUUGGAUUCAACGCCGGACAUCUCACCGGAUAAGACAGCUGAAUGAUUGCCGGGCUGAAGACUCUGCAUGACUAGCUG